This 403-nucleotide ribosomal RNA is filed under the name uncultured bacterium. RNAcentral describes it as "bacterial SSU rRNA". It matches the Rfam family "Bacterial small subunit ribosomal RNA", at positions 975 to 1375 of the family's 1533-position model. The record is from RNAcentral.
CAGGGUUUGACAUGCAAUAGACCGCGGCAGAAAUGUCGCCUUCUCGCAAGAGACUGUUGCACAGGUGCUGCAUGGCUGUCGUCAGCUCGUGCCGUGAGGUGUUGGGUUAAGUCCCGCAACGAGCGCAACCCUUGUCGUUAGUUGCCAGCGAGUAAAGUCGGGCACUCUAGCGAGACUGCCUAGGUUAACUAGGAGGAAGGUGAGGAUGAUGUCAAGUCCGCAUGGCCCUUAUGCCCUGGGCUACACACGUACUACAAUGGCCAGUACAGAAGGAAGCAAGACCGCGAGGUGGAGCAAAUCCUAUAAAACUGGCCCCAGUUCAGAUUGCAGUCUGCAACUCGACUGCAUGAAGAUGGAAUUGCUAGUAAUGGCGAGUCAGCUAUAUCGCCGUGAAUACGUUCCC